GGACCUGACAGCUAUCGGAUUCGAUACUAAGCCAUGCGAGUCAUUGUAGCAAUACAAGGCAUACGGCUCAGUAACGCGUAGUCAACCUAACCUAUGGACGGGAAUAACCUCGGGAAACUGAGAAUAAUGCCCGAUAGAACAUUAUGCCUGGAAUGGUUUAUGUUCCAAAUGAUUUAUCGCCGUAGGAUGGGACUGCGGCCUAUCAGUUUGUUGGUGAGGUAAUGGCCCACCAAGACUAUUACAGGUACGGGCUCUGAGAGGAGUAGCCCGGAGAUGGGUACUGAGACACGGACCCAGGCCCUAUGGGGCGCAGCAGGCGAGAAAACUUUGCAAUGUGCGAAAGCACGACAAGGUUAAUCCGAGUGGUUUCUGCUAAAGAAACCUUUUGUCAGUCCUAGAAACACUGAUGAAUAAGGGGUGGGCAAGUUCUGGUGU
RNAcentral lists this ribosomal RNA (435 nucleotides) under uncultured archaeon. RNAcentral's name for it is "bacterial SSU rRNA". It matches the Rfam family "Archaeal small subunit ribosomal RNA", at positions 19 to 458 of the family's 1478-position model. The record is from RNAcentral.